CCUCGCCCUUUUUCUACGGGAGCCAGUUUCAGACCACGCCAGGAAAUCCCUAAGGUUGUGAACCAACCUUUCCACCACCACCCACACCCCAGUGAAAAACAGGGGGUGCAGAAGAAUAAAGAGAAGAGAAAGUAUCACAUAUGGACAUUCUGGAAAGCAAGGGAACGUCGAAAACAUCAAGGCUAAAGCCAAACAGCAAAAUGGAAUCUGAAGUCGAAGCCUAAAAGAAUGAGAACAGGCAAGACCAAGAGGAGCUUACAACACUUGAAGAAUGAUGCAGGUUAUCGUUAAUGCCAUGUAAGCACCCUCUAGAAGCACAAGAAAAGUUCUCGAGGAGACCUGAAUUACACAACAAAAACAUUUAGAGGAAGACAGCCCAAUGUCAUGUAAGUAUUUGUGUAUUUGUUCUUGCCGUGGCUCACAAGGGACACAGCGAGCCCCCUCCCUGACUGAAUGCUGGAUAUUAUUUAAACUCUGCCAUCACACUCCAAUGCUUUCCAAUAGCUAAAAGAAUUUUGCAUUUCUUCCCAUAGGGACUGUAAACUCAAAAAGAAGGAUUCUCCUGCAAUAAAUUGUAUCUAUUUUAUUUUCUGAAAUAGUUACUUUUAAAAAAUAUAUGCUAAGAAAAAAAUGAAAGGGGAAAAAUAGGGCCUCCAUUUGUGAAUUGUGCUCUUUUUUAUUCCUACUAUUUCCAAGACCAAGCAAAUUAUCAUAAUUUUCCUACCAGAGAUACACAAUUCCACCUAAGAAUUGCUGUUUUCCAAAACCAGUGAAAAGCAAAGUUUCCAAUAGAUGCUGAGAUAAAUCUUCUGUAUGUACUUGUAUGUGUACCCUAGCAAUCCUUUUGAAUUUCAAGGUUAUAAAUAAUUCCCAAACUCAGCUUUCUGUUGGUAUUUUAAUGUGGAUUAUUUGCACCCCUCUGUUGGUGUCAUUUCUUUUUACUUAAUGAUCCCUUCCAAGCUGGCACCAGUACAUUCAGUAUUCUGAUGGGACCAAACCACCAUCCCACCUAAGAAUGUCAAUUAUGUUUUGAAAGCAGACAAUUUGAUUUCAUGCAGAAACCACUGUAUAUGCAUGAUGGUGUUUUCAUAAAGACUCCCUUAUUUACUCUAAACAGUGUUAUGACUUUCACUGUAUGGCCACAUAGUAACUGUUUAACCGUCUUACAGUCUUUUCAAGAAAUCUUAAACAAGAAAAAGGAAAGCUUGGUUUCAAGAAUACAUUUUCUGUUCUUAUAAAAAUCAGCUCCUCUAUGAAUAGCUGAAAUGAGGCAAAGCUUCAAAGCUGCAGCCUAGAGUACCAUAAGUACUGUACUGGAGAAAUAACCUCUCAGCCAUGUCUGAAUGGGAAAGGAAAGGAACUUUCUGCCAGCUGAAUGUGUGUUUCCCAACUUUUUCUUCUCAUGUAUAUCUAAAAAGGACACUGGACUAGAAUCCCUAGUAGAUUUCGUAUUUAAGGCUUGUUAGCGAGGGAUUCCCACAGUAGAAUCUGGAAACACACACAGCCACACACACAGGCACACACACACCCCACCCCAUUCCUUUGCUCACUCAGGAUUAUCAGGACUUCACCCUGGGCCAGUUCUGCUACCUGUGCUGCCUGUUUUCUAGAAGCACAAAGAGGCUCAAGUGAGCUUAUCAUCUGAUCAAAAAAGCCAUCAGAAACAAAAAAGCCUCUCUUUCUAUCCCUAUGAAAUGAGAUCCUGGUGGGCAAGAUUCACCCACACUGCUCAAGCCCUUUGAUCCUAUAGACUGAACUAUUUUCAUCCUUUUCAUACCGUGAGUGUACCCACAAGGCACAAACACAAGCAGGUGCACAUGCUCAUGUGCACACAUGCAGUGACAUCAGGGGUGGCCACCUUUUCUUCCAUAUGUCCACUCACCAUGUGACAGAGAGAGCAACAAGGAAAUAAACAUCACUUCACCUCCCCAAACCAAUCCUGGUGUCCUUGUUCAGUGGAUAUGGCACACAUUUCUACAUGGGGGCUCCUGUGUAGGAGCCAGAAACUCUGUGCUUCUCCAGACACAUGCUCGUCUCGAAAUAAUGAGCACAACUGUACAGUGGAGAAUGCAUAUAAACAAUCACAGUACAGUUGAAAACUGCUCUGUGCAGGCUGAUUAUCCACAGUGUACCACGCUCUACCAGGAUCAGUGUGGCGGAGGGGAGCUGUCUCCCCUCUGCCAUUCUUCUAGGAUCAGCUGUUCCAACUCACAGAGAAAACUCCUCAUUAAAAAUAGUCAGAAACAGAAACUGAUAUUGCACCUGAGAAGACUUGAGGA
Felis catus (domestic cat) is the source of this 2279-nucleotide long non-coding RNA. RefSeq lists it as uncharacterized. The transcript is spliced from 4 exons. The record is from RefSeq and is a predicted model, not a curated record. Lineage: Eukaryota; Metazoa; Chordata; Mammalia; Carnivora; Felidae.